UGGAGUGGGUUUCAAGGAAACGGAUGGGAAGGUCAUAAGUUCAUGAGGAGACUUCAAUAUGUUAAAGCUAAAUUGAAGGAGUGGAAUAAGUUUUCUUUUGGAGAGCUUAAAGAAAAGAAAAAAAGUAUUCUCAAUGAUUUAGCUAACUUUGACGCCAUUGAGCAGGAAGGGGGUCUCAAUCCUGAUUUGUUAAGCCAAAGAGACUCAAGAAAAGGGGAGCUAGAGGAAUUAAUAUUGAGGGAGGAAAUUCAUUGGAGACAAAAAGCCAAAGUGAAAUGGGUCAAGGAAGGGGAUUGCAACUCUAAGUUUUAUCAUAAAGUGGCUAAUGGCAGGCGAAAUAGGAAAUAUAUCAAGGAGUUGGAGAAUGAGAGGGGCUUAGUGCUAAAGAAUGCCGAGAGUAUCACAGAGGAGAUUUUACAUUACUUUGAGAAGCUUUACACAAAUCCUACAGGAGAGUCUUGGGGUGUUGAAGGAUUAGAUUGGUCCCCUAUUUCGGAAGAGAGCGCGUUAAGGUUAGACUCCCCUUUCACCGAAAAAGAGAUUUCUAAGGCCAUUUUUCAGUUGGAUAGGGACAAGGCUCCGGGGCCAGAUGGCUUUACUAUUUCCGUAUUCCAAGCGUGUUGGGAUGUGAUUAAGGAGGAUUUGGUGAGAGUGUUCGCUAAAUUUCAUAGGAGCGGAAUUAUCAAUCAAAGCACUAAUGCCUUUUUCAUUAUUCUAAUACCCAAAAAGAGUUUGUCAAAGAGAAUAUCAGACUUUAGACCCAUUAGUUUGAUCACUAGUCUCUACAAGAUAAUAGCCAAAGUGUUCUCUGGGCGUCUAAGAGGGGUUUUACAUGAGACCAUCCACUAUACUCAAGGCGCUUUUGUUCAAGAGAGACAAAUAUUGGACGCGGUUCUUAUAGCGAAUGAGAUAGUGGACGAGAGAAGAAGGUCAGGGGAGGAAGGCGUUGUAUUCAAAAUAGACUUUGAAAAGGCAUACGAUCACGUGAAGUGGGAUUUUUUGGAUCAUGUGUUAGAAAAGAAGGGGUUCAGUCCUAGAUGGAGGAAAUGGAUGAGUGGAUGUUUAUCUUCAGUAUCUUAUGCAAUCUUGGUGAAUGGUAGUGCUAAAGGGUGGGUUAAGGCAUCAAGG
Molecule: long non-coding RNA, 1128 nt
Filed under: Vitis vinifera (wine grape)
Lineage: Eukaryota; Viridiplantae; Streptophyta; Magnoliopsida; Vitales; Vitaceae
Description: long non-coding RNA (VVIN_LNC007911)
Source: RNAcentral